AUGACUCAAAAAGGCUUUUCGGGUUUGAAAAAUCUUUUUUUGGAAGAUAAUCGUUAGGCAGGGGGAACCGUUGUUUUUUCGUAGUGGUUUACAUCCCAAAAAGGCCACAGUCUAAUUACGGGGCCGACAAGCCAGAGGUAAUAAACGAAAGAGGACAAAGGAAUUAUCCUGAAUUUAAUUGGGAUAAAAAACGGGGCGCGGGAGGUUUUUUUUAAUUCUAAACGUGAAAACCCCUCGGACUUAAACCGAGUGAAGUGCAUCGGAAACUGGGAGAACUGGAGUGCAAAAGAGGACAGUGGAGACUGCCAUGUGUAGCGGUGAACUGUGUAGAUAUAUGGAAGAACACCAGUGGCGAAGGCGGCUGUCUGGUCUGUAACUUAACGCUGAGGCUCGAAAAGCAUGGGUAACGAAACAGGAUUAGAUACCCUGGUAGUCCAUGCCGUAAACGAUGAAUGCUAGGUGUUGGAGGGUUUCCGCCCUUCAGUGCCGCAGCUAACGCAUUAAGCAUUCCGCCUGGGGAGUACGACCGCAAGGUUGAAACUCAAAGGAAUUGACGGGGGCCCGCACAAGCGGUGGAGCAUGUGGUUUAAUUCGAAGCAACGCGAAGAACCUUACCAGGUCUUGACAUCUUUUGAUCACCUGAGAGAUCAGGUUUCCCCUUCGGGGGCAAAAUGACAGGUGGUGCAUGGUUGUCGUCAGCUCGUGUCGUGAGAUGUUGGGUUAAGUCCCGCAACGAGCGCAACCCUUAUGACUAGUUGCCAGCAUUUAGUUGGGCACUCUAGUAAGACUGCCGGUGACAAACCGGAGGAAGGUGGGGAUGACGUCAAAUCAUCAUGCCCCUUAUGACCUGGGCUACACACGUGCUACAAUGGAUGGUACAACGAGUUGCGAGACCGCGAGGUCAAGCUAAUCUCUUAAAGCCAUUCUCAGUUCGGACUGUAGGCUGCAACUCGCCUACACGAAGUCGGAAUCGCUAGUAAUCGCGGAUCAGCACGCCGCGGUGAAUACGUUCCCGGGCCUUGUACACACCGCCCGUCACACCAUGAGAGUUUGUAACACCCGAAGCCGGUGGCGUAACCCUUUUAGGGAGCGAGCCGUCUAAGGUGGACAAAAGAUUUUUCAA
This 1123-nucleotide ribosomal RNA is filed under the name Lacticaseibacillus paracasei. Its description in RNAcentral is "bacterial SSU rRNA". It matches the Rfam family "Bacterial small subunit ribosomal RNA", at positions 401 to 1484 of the family's 1533-position model. Lineage: Bacteria; Bacillati; Bacillota; Bacilli; Lactobacillales; Lactobacillaceae. The record is from RNAcentral.